Molecule: transfer RNA, 72 nt
Filed under: Bos taurus (domestic cattle)
Lineage: Eukaryota; Metazoa; Chordata; Mammalia; Artiodactyla; Bovidae
Also listed under: 1 other name
Rfam family: tRNA
About the family: Transfer RNA (tRNA) molecules are approximately 80 nucleotides in length.
Source: Rfam by way of RNAcentral
UCUCUGAUGGUCCAGUGGUAGGGCUCCACACUUCCACUGCAGGGGGGCUGGGUUCGACUCCUGGUCAGGGAA